GGGGAUACAGCUCAGUUGGUAGAGUAUUUGCCUUGCGUGCAGAAGAGCCUGGGUUCAAUCCCUAACACCGCCC
RNAcentral lists this transfer RNA (73 nucleotides) under Ictidomys tridecemlineatus (thirteen-lined ground squirrel). RNAcentral describes it as "Spermophilus tridecemlineatus (thirteen-lined ground squirrel) tRNA". It matches the Rfam family "tRNA". From Rfam's summary of the family: Transfer RNA (tRNA) molecules are approximately 80 nucleotides in length. Lineage: Eukaryota; Metazoa; Chordata; Mammalia; Rodentia; Sciuridae. The record is from Rfam by way of RNAcentral.